UACGUAGGGCGCAAGCGUUAUCCGGAAUUACUGGGCGUAAAGGGCGCGUAGGCGGCUUAUCAAGUCAGGCGUGAAAUUCCCGGGCUCAACCUGGGGGCUGCGCUUGAUACUGAUGAGCUUGAAUGCGGGAGAGGAUAGUGGAAUUCCCAGUGUAGAGGUGAAAUUCGUAGAUAUUGGGAAGAACACCGGUGGCGAAGGCGGCUAUCUGGCCCGUAAUUGACGCUGAGGCGCGAAAGCGUGGGGAGCAAACAGG
RNAcentral lists this ribosomal RNA (253 nucleotides) under uncultured bacterium. Its description in RNAcentral is "partial 16S ribosomal RNA". It matches the Rfam family "Bacterial small subunit ribosomal RNA", at positions 524 to 776 of the family's 1533-position model. The record is from RNAcentral.